UCAAAUUUCUUGUCAUCCAGAUUUUUUUUUUUUUAAUUUCUCUUCCAUUUAUCUUCUCAUCAGAUACAUCAUUACAACUUGAAACAACAACUUGAAACAUGAGAGAAAUAGAGAACGCAUUAAGAAACGUUUGUGACGUAGAAGCCAGAAGAUACGAUUAUGAUAAAGAUAAUUUACGGUUGGAAGUUGGAACAUGUCAAACCACAAUGGCAAGAAAGAUGCAGGUGAUUGACGAUUUGAUGGAGGGUUCACAUGAGCCAAAGUCAGACUCUUAGAAGCACUAUCUUGAUCAAGGCCGAGGAGGCGAACCCUGAUUUGCAAUUAUACUUCCUUGACAAGAACAUGUGCCGGUUUAGGACAGAGGAGUGAAGACGGACGUUACUCCCCCUCCGUUGAGAAUAUGUAACUCCCUGAAAAGAGUUUCAAAAUGGGUCAGCGUAACAACUGCACCAAGCCAUGAAACGACAUAAUAAUCAAGGGUCCUACAGAUUUUCUCCAUCAUGUACCGUGAAUUUUUUUCGUUAUGAAAACAACUGUCUCUCUCUCUCUGAAUUUUCUUUUUUUUUUUUUUUUUUUUUUUUUUUUUGAAAAUUAUCUCUCUCUGAAUUUUCCCACCGCGGUCUUGAUGUUUCUCUCGCCAUCUCCUUUUGUGUGUGUCCUCAUCCUAUUUUCUGUAUCUCUAACCCACUAAAACCUUAAUUUACCGUUCAUAUGUGGUGUUACUCAAUCUCAAAAACAUAUAUUCUUCUCAAAAUUCAUUGAUUCCUCUGAUACUGUUUCCCAUCCAGAAUUUUAGAGUUAAUAUGUCUAUAGAAUCGAUGAUUUAAAACCACUUAUUCAUCUAUCUCGAAAUCAGAAAGGAAUCUUUCUAGAUUGAAUCGCCGUAGGAACUCAACGCAGGUAAGAUUUGCAACACCUAAAGUUGUUUCAUUUAACAAAAGAUCCAAAGUGAAAAGUUAUGAUUUUCUGUUCAACGAAGCAGAUUGUCAUCGUUUGUCCAUUUCAAUUCCAUGAAUCAGUUAAGUCGGAAAGGUAUUUUUACCAAAUUUGUUUUGAUAGGCACGUUAGAUAGCUAGAGAUGAGAUUUAACUGAUUGCAUAUAUUGUAGUAUAUAUAGCAAGGGCCGCCCCUGCCAUAAGGUUAGUGAAGCUGGAGCUUAAGGCCACAAAAAUAAUUUACAAUUUUUGAGGC
RNAcentral lists this long non-coding RNA (1191 nucleotides) under Brassica napus (rape). RNAcentral's name for it is "long non-coding RNA (BNAP_LNC026285)". The record is from RNAcentral. Lineage: Eukaryota; Viridiplantae; Streptophyta; Magnoliopsida; Brassicales; Brassicaceae.